Molecule: long non-coding RNA, 166 nt
Filed under: Capra hircus (goat)
Lineage: Eukaryota; Metazoa; Chordata; Mammalia; Artiodactyla; Bovidae
Description: lncRNA (ENSCHIG00010015001.1)
Source: RNAcentral
GUGAAGUUACCUGAUCGGCUUAAUUUGCCUAGUACAGACCCACAGGACUCAAAGUGUUUGGGCACAGAGUAGUCUAGCAAAGAUUAUGGAGCAAAAUCGUUUUAAAUGAAUUCAAAGUGGUUGCCUUACUUCACCGAUUAAACCAUCUACUUGCCCUUGGCCACAG